AUUGAACGCUGGCGGCAGGCCUAACACAUGCAAGUCGAACGGCAGCACAGAAGAGCUUGCUCUUUGGGUGGCGAGUGGCGGACGGGUGAGUAAUGUCUGGGAAACUGCCCGAUGGAGGGGGAUAACUACUGGAAACGGUAGCUAAUACCGCAUAACGUCGCAAGACCAAAGUGGGGGACCUUCGGGCCUCACACCAUCGGAUGUGCCCAGAUGGGAUUAGCUAGUAGGUGGGGUAACGGCUCACCUAGGCGACGAUCCCUAGCUGGUCUGAGAGGAUGACCAGCCACACUGGAACUGAGACACGGUCCAGACUCCUACGGGAGGCAGCAGUGGGGAAUAUUGCACAAUGGGCGCAAGCCUGAUGCAGCCAUGCCGCGUGUAUGAAGAAGGCCUUCGGGUUGUAAAGUACUUUCAGCGGGGAGGAAGGCGACGCGGUUAAUAACCGGGUCGAUUGACGUUACCCGCAGAAGAAGCACCGGCUAACUCCGUGCCAGCCGCCGCAGUAAAAC
Molecule: ribosomal RNA, 509 nt
Filed under: uncultured bacterium
Lineage: Bacteria
Description: bacterial SSU rRNA
Rfam family: Bacterial small subunit ribosomal RNA
Source: RNAcentral